AGAGUUUGAUCCUGGCUCAGGAUGAACGCUGGCGGCGUGCUUAACACAUGCAAGUCGAACGAAGCACCUUGAUUUGAUUCUUCGGAUGAAGAUCUUGGUGACUGAGUGGCGGACGGGUGAGUAACGCGUGGGUAACCUGCCUCAUACAGGGGGAUAACAGUUAGAAAUGACUGCUAAUACCGCAUAAGACCACAGCACCGCAUGGUGCAGGGGUAAAAACUCCGGUGGUAUGAGAUGGACCCGCGUCUGAUUAGGCAGUUGGUGGGGUAACGGCCUACCAAGCCGACGAUCAGUAGCCGACCUGAGAGGGUGACCGGCCACAUUGGGACUGAGACACGGCCCAAACUCCUACGGGAGGCAGCAGUGGGGAAUAUUGCACAAUGGGGGAAACCCUGAUGCAGCGACGCCGCGUGAGCGAUGAAGUAUUUCGGUAUGUAAAGCUCUAUCAGUAGGGAAGAAAAUGACGGUACCUGACUAAGAAGCACCGGCUAAAUACGUGCCAGCAGCCGCGGUAAUACGUAUGGUGCAAGCGUUAUCCGGAUUUACUGGGUGUAAAGGGAGCGUAGACGGAGUGGCAAGUCUGAUGUGAAAACCCGGGGCUCAACCCCGGGACUGCAUUGGAAACUGUCAAUCUAGAGUACCGGAGAGGUAAGCGGAAUUCCUAGUGUAGCGGUGAAAUGCGUAGAUAUUAGGAGGAACACCAGUGGCGAAGGCGGCUUACUGGACGGUAACUGACGUUGAGGCUCGAAAGCGUGGGGAGCAAACAGGAUUAGAUACCCUGGUAGUCCACGCCGUAAACG
Molecule: ribosomal RNA, 800 nt
Filed under: uncultured bacterium
Lineage: Bacteria
Description: bacterial SSU rRNA
Rfam family: Bacterial small subunit ribosomal RNA
Source: RNAcentral